RNAcentral lists this unclassified non-coding RNA (314 nucleotides) under Hevea brasiliensis (rubber tree). Lineage: Eukaryota; Viridiplantae; Streptophyta; Magnoliopsida; Malpighiales; Euphorbiaceae. The record is from RNAcentral.
AGCAGAUGUCUUCCCUGUGCGGGCCGUCGAUGUCCGGGAAGCGCUCCUUGAGCACGGCGACGAUUUCCGCGGUGUCGUCGAUCGACAGCGUGGUCUGGGUCACGAAGGCCAGCUUCGAGGCAUCCUUCGGCUGGAAUGUGCGCGCCGCGUCCAUGGUCUCGAUCAGGACAACCGCGCCCUUCGGCAACUGGCCGAGGGUGCCGACCACUUCCGGAUGACCGGCAUGGCCGAUCAGGAUGAUUUCACGGCCGCGCUUGAAAUGGAUUGCCGCCUCGCGGUGGACCUUGGUCACCAGCGGGCAGGUCGCGUCCAGG